GCCGGGAUAGCUCAGCUGGGAGAGCGACAGACUGAAGAUGGUUAUGUGUUCUGCAGGUCGGGCGUUCGAGCCGCCCUCCUGGCA
Molecule: transfer RNA, 84 nt
Filed under: Fibroporia radiculosa
Lineage: Eukaryota; Fungi; Basidiomycota; Agaricomycetes; Polyporales; Fibroporiaceae
Rfam family: tRNA
About the family: Transfer RNA (tRNA) molecules are approximately 80 nucleotides in length.
Source: Rfam by way of RNAcentral